UCGAGCGGACAGAAGGGAGCUUGCUCCCGGAUGUUAGCGGCGGACGGGUGAGUAACACGUGGGUAACCUGCCUGUAAGACUGGGAUAACUCCGGGAAACCGGAGCUAAUACCGGAUAGUUCCUUGAACCGCAUGGUUCAAGGAUGAAAGACGGUUUCGGCUGUCACUUACAGAUGGACCCGCGGCGCAUUAGCUAGUUGGUGAGGUAACGGCUCACCAAGGCGACGAUGCGUAGCCGACCUGAGAGGGUGAUCGGCCACACUGGGACUGAGACACGGCCCAGACUCCUACGGGAGGCAGCAGUAGGGAAUCUUCCGCAAUGGACGAAAGUCUGACGGAGCAACGCCGCGUGAGUGAUGAAGGUUUUCGGAUCGUAAAGCUCUGUUGUUAGGGAAGAACAAGUGCAAGAGUAACUGCUUGCACCUUGACGGUACCUAACCAGAAAGCCACGGCUAACUACGUGCCAGCAGCCGCGGUAAUACGUAGGUGGCAAGCGUUGUCCGGAAUUAUUGGGCGUAAAGGGCUCGCAGGCGGUUUCUUAAGUCUGAUGUGAAAGCCCCCGGCUCAACCGGGGAGGGUCAUUGGAAACUGGGAAACUUGAGUGCAGAAGAGGAGAGUGGAAUUCCACGUGUAGCGGUGAAAUGCGUAGAGAUGUGGAGGAACACCAGUGGCGAAGGCGACUCUCUGGUCUGUAACUGACGCUGAGGAGCGAAAGCGUGGGGAGCGAACAGGAUUA
Molecule: ribosomal RNA, 735 nt
Filed under: Bacillus sp. CUA-637
Lineage: Bacteria; Bacillati; Bacillota; Bacilli; Caryophanales; Bacillaceae
Description: bacterial SSU rRNA
Rfam family: Bacterial small subunit ribosomal RNA
Source: RNAcentral